This 441-nucleotide ribosomal RNA is filed under the name uncultured bacterium. RNAcentral's name for it is "partial 16S ribosomal RNA". It matches the Rfam family "Bacterial small subunit ribosomal RNA", at positions 338 to 795 of the family's 1533-position model. The record is from RNAcentral.
CCUACGGGAGGCAGCAGUGGGGAAUAUUGCACAAUGGGGGAAACCCUGAUGCAGCGACGCCGCGUGAGUGAAGAAGUAUUUCGGGAUGUAAAGCUCUAUCAGCAGGGAAGAAAAAAGACGGUACCUGACUAAGAAGCCCCGGCUAACUACGUGCCAGCAGCCGCGGUAAUACGUAGGGGGCAAGCGUUAUCCGGAUUUACUGGGUGUAAAGGGAGCGUAGACGGUGCGUCAAGUCUGAAGUGAAAGCCCGGGGCUUAACCCCGGGACUGCUUUGGAAACUGGCGCGCUAGAGUCCUGGAGAGGGAAGUAGAAUUCCAAGUGUAGCGGUGAAAUGCGUAGAUAUUAGGAGGAACACCAGUGGCGAAGGCGGCUUACUGGACAGUAACUGACGUUGAGGCUCGAAAGCGUGGGGAGCAAACAGGAUUAGAUACCCUUGUAGUC